Papio anubis (olive baboon) is the source of this 2232-nucleotide long non-coding RNA. Lineage: Eukaryota; Metazoa; Chordata; Mammalia; Primates; Cercopithecidae. The record is from Ensembl.
UUUCGCUAUGUACUGGAAAGCCCGAACGUGCCGGAAGGGGCGCACCUGGGAAAAAGGAGACCCCCCCCCCCCAGGCUACUACGCCGGGCACUUUCACGCCAGGCUGGGGCACCCGCGGCGUUGAGACCGGGGAGCCCGGAGUUGCGGGGAGCGGAAGGGGAAGGGCGCGGCCCGCGUGGCUCGGCCCGGAGUGGCGCGAGGAGACAGGACCCCGCGGCCCCCCGGUCGGGCCCCGCGCCCCGGAAGGGGGGCUCAGACAGGCGGCCCCGCGUGCCCAGGGCGCGUCCCCGCGGCGGCCGCCAGAGGGCGCGGCGGGCGCCGGGGAGGGCAGCACGCGGAGAGUCGCCUCCCUCCCUCCGGGGGAGGAAAUGUGGGGGCCCGGGCUGGGGACCGACUCGGCUGGGUCGCGCUGGCGGGGCCUCCCGGACCAGCGGCCCGCCCUGAGCGCUCUCAGCGGCCUCGCGCGGCUCAGGGCUCCACCACGUGGGCGGCUGUGGGGAGCGGCCGGGGCGCGUGCACGCUGCGGGGCUCCGAAGCUGGGGGGCGUGUCCGGGGCCCCGAGAAGGGGGUGGAGGCUGGGGCCGGGAAGCCUCCCUUGGCUGCGGUCCCGACCCGGGAACAGGCGGCAUGCACUCGGGAUCAGCGGCUACUGCGGAAACCCACCCGCACCUGUCUUGAGUCCUCCCGGGCACGUUCCUCUUGCUUCGUUUGCUACGAACUCCUGGAGAAUGGCAUGACUUCAAUAGCCAGAAUCAGAGCAAAUGAAUGGCAGUGGUGGGAGCCGAGUGGGGAGUGGUCCCCAAAGAAUAUGCAUUGCCGACUUAUUGGGAUCUUCGGUGGAGGUUCCCAGUGCAGACAAUCUUCGUAGAGCCUGUGAAAGUGCCCACGAGACAGUCAUCUUCAAAUAUCUUCCAGACCCGGAAAGCUCAAAACAUUCAGUCAGGUUUGGACUUUCCAAUACCCUUACUUCUCGCUUCACCUUCUUUAACCACUGUGGGAGGGAAGGAUGGAAAGAGAAGCGGUAGGUGUGGAGCAUGUCCGCUUCCCUGCCUUCCACGACUCCCCUGGGGCGGUCAUAUGAUUAAUUAUCCAAAGUAGGCAUUUUGAGGGUGAAAGUUGGCACUAAACAUAAAUAAAAUAUUAUUUUAAAAUAUAUGUUACAUAAUCCUUUGUUGUAUUUAUAUAUAUAUGUGUGUGUGUGUAUAUAUAUAUAUAAAUAUAUAUAUAUUUUGAAUAUAUAAAUAUAUAUAUAUAUAUAUAUUAUUUUUCUUUUGAGACGGAGUCUCACUCUCUCACCCAGGCUGGAGUGCAGUGAUGCAAUCUCAGCUCACUGCAACCUCUGUCUCCCAAGUUCAAGCAAUUUUCCUGCCUCAGCCUCCCAAGUAGCUGGGAUUACAAGGAUGCUAAUUUUUAAAAUUAUUAUUAUUUAGUAGAGACCCAGCUAAUUUUUUUUUUCUUUUUUUUUUUUUUUUGAGACGGAGUCUCGCUCUGUCGCCCAGGCUGCACUGCAGUGGCGCGAUCUUGGCUCACUGCAAGCUCCGCCCGCCAGGUUCACGCCAUUCUCCUGACCUCAUGACCUCCUGAUGUAGCCUGGGACUACAGGCGCUCCCAAAGUGCUGGGAUUACAGGCGUGAGCCACCGCGCCCGGCCGCUAAUUUUGUUUUAAAUUUAUUUAGUAGAGACAGGGUUUCACCAUUUUGGUCAGACUAGUCUCCAACUCCUGACCUCAAAUGAUCCACCCGCCUCAGCCUCCCAAAGUGUUGGGAGUACAGGCGUGAGCCAUUGCGCCCAGCCUGUUGUAUUAUAUUGUAAAAAUAGUCCUAUUCAAAAAUAAUUUUUAAAACACAUUUCUUUAAAAAUAAAAAUAUCUCUGUACAUUAAAGAGAAAAAUAAAAUGCCUUUAUGGUGAUUAAUCUGAACAUUAAAAAACAUAAGCAUAGCUGGGUGUGGUGGCAGGCACCUGUAGUCUCAGCUACUUGGGAGGCUAAGGCAGGAGAAUCGCUUGAACCCGGGAGGCAGAAGUUGCAGUGAGCUGAGAUUGCACCACUGCACUCCAGCCUGGGUGAGAGAGUGAGACUCUGUCUCAAAACAACAACAACAACAACAAUAAAAAACACAUAAACAGAAUUACAAAUCUUGUGCAUAUUCACAUACUUUUUAUCAGUUUCUUAGCCUUAUUUGUUUAACAUAUUUUUUUUAAAUGCAGUCGUCUUGUUUUUUUUUUAAAUAAAA